Cryptomeria japonica (Japanese cedar) is the source of this 1784-nucleotide RNA transcript. RefSeq lists it as uncharacterized. Lineage: Eukaryota; Viridiplantae; Streptophyta; Pinopsida; Cupressales; Cupressaceae. The transcript has 11 exons. The record is from RefSeq and is a predicted model, not a curated record.
CCGACCGUACAACUCCGCUCGUCGGGCCUAGUAACAAAUUUAUGCUGCUAGAAAACAGCUUCUUUCCCAGUCCUGUGGUAGAGAGUAUAAAUGGCUGUCUAACAGACACGGUAGAGAAAUGAGUAGGAAAUGGAUGUCCAUAUGCUUAACGGCGUUGUCUGCGUUGGCAAUGCAUUUUACAUUUGCAGCUACUGCUUAUUUAUGGAUCUCAAAUUCUAUUAUUCCCGCACUGCCUGCAAUCGCUGUAGGUUUGUUUGUUUGGUUGAUACAAGGUAGAUGGUGCAAAAGACGUCUAGGGAUAUCAGCUUCUGCACCUACCUUUGUGUACGUCAAUAUUUGGUUCCUGUGGGCAAUCUACAUUUUUUUGCUUCGAAUGGAUGUUGGUCCAGUUAUGGGUGUGGCAUUCAAUACACAAUGUCUUUUAUUAUCAAUUGGUCUUUGGAGGAUGCUAUGCAGUGAUCCUGGCUAUGUUAGAAAUGAGAAUAUUUCCCUGGAGAGCAUGGAUCACACUACUCUCACAGUAACAGGGAAUGAUAAAUCAAAUUUUAUGGGUCAUUUUAUUGGUACAGGUGCAAAUUUUCAAAACAACUUUGAUUGCAGGUUACAUGUACGAACAAGAUUGUGCAAAAAAUGUCAGGCCUAUGUCAAUCGAUUUGAUCAUCAUUGCCCUGCCUUUGGCAAUUGUGUGGGUCAAUUAAACCAUCGUCUAUUUAUCUUGUUGCUAAUAGCAUUUGUCAGUUCUGAGAUAUGUUACUUCCUUUGUGCCAUUUCAUGGUUUUCAAGUGUCAAGAACCUUUUGGAAAGGCAAACCCAGGCUUCUCACUUGGUUCCAUGGAUAAUUAGCUCAUCACUAUUUGCAAUUAUCCAGGUGUUUUGGCAGUAUCAACAGCCCAACAAAUCAUCUUGGCAGAGCUGUUGGAAGUCUACAAUGGUCGUGGGAAUUUGAGAUGCCACAUCAUCAAAGGCAUCUGUUGUUCAUUCCUCUAUGGAGUUUGAGCAUGCUAGCGGUCUCCUCUCCUCUGCCAAACAUUAAUAACAUGUAGCUCGGUCCAUCUUUGCUACACUUGACUGUGCUUACAAAGACUCACAUGCAGCAUUAAAUGGAGUUGUAAUAGGAUUACAUUGGAUGCUGGAGGCAUUUGAGGUUGGAGGAUUUUAUUAUCUCAAGUCAGCUUCUCGCUUAGAGAUGGUGUUUUGUAUGAGAAGCAUGUGUUUUUGUUUUUACUGUGUAUAGCAUUGAAAAAUUCAUAUAUUGUGAAGUUUGCUUUUUGAAAAUAGUAAAGGAUUUUGUGUAAACUCAAUAUGGAUUGUUGCUCAGAUAUUUUAGCAGUUUGUGGAUCUUGGGAAUUAUGCCCUUUAGAGGGUCAUGAGACAACCUGAUGGAGCAUUAUUGAUGUAGUUUGACAUAGAUUGUUGUCCAUAAUUUGGGAGAUCUAUGAUUCAGAAGUUCAAGGAGGUGGUAGUCUAAGAACUCGUGAAUUUAACUCAGAGCUAAACCAUUAUGAGGGUUAUAAGGCAAGUUGAUGGAGUUCCAUCCAAUCUAGGAAUAAUUUUUUCAAAGAAAAAAUUGUAAAGAAUAUGUAUGUGUUUUUUAUCAACAUGUUUUGUUGUAUAGUGUAAACAUUAGGGAGCUGUUCAAAAAAUUAAGGUUUACGUUUCAAUAAACUUAGUGACUUAAGUUAGUAGUUAGGUGGGAGUUAGUUUCUCAUAGGGCAGUUUGGAAAGUUGUACAGAAAUUCUAUGCACAUUAUGUGUUAGAUUGCUUUACAAUAGUUUCUUUUGCA